GCUGGGAAGGAGCGAGCGAGCGGGGGCGCGAGGCGUUUACCUGGAGGCAGCGGCUCGGGCGCGCAGAGCGGCCGCGGCUCCCCCGCACCUGCGGCCAUGGAUGAGGAGCGCGCCCUGUACAUCGUCCGGGCCGGCGAGGCGGGGGCUAUCGAGCGGGUCCUGAGGGAUUACAGCGAUAAGCAUAGGGCUACUUUCAAAUUUGAACCAACAGAUGAAGAUAAAAGAAAGAAACUCUGCGAAGGGAUAUUUAAAGUCCUUGUAAAGGACGUCCCAACAACAUGUCAAGUGUCCUGCCUGGAAGUUCUCCGCAUUCUCUCCAGAGACAAAAAGAUUUUAGUUCCUGUAACAACCAAGGAAAAUAUGCAGAUACUGCUGCGACUAGCGAAGCUGAAUGAGUUGGAUGAUUCUUUGGAGAAGGUGUCAGAGUUCCCAGUUAUUGUGGAGUCAUUAAAAUGUCUGUGUAACAUAGUGUUCAAUAGUCAGAUGGCACAGCAGCUCAGCCUGGAACUUAACCUUGCUGCAAAGCUCUGUAACCUCCUGAGAAAGUGCAAGGACCGAAAGUUUAUCAAUGACAUUAAGUGCUUUGACUUGCGCUUGCUCUUCGUCCUGUCACUUUUGCACACUGACAUCAGGUCACAAUUGCGCUAUGAGCUCCAGGGACUACCGCUGCUAACCCAGAUCUUGGAAAGUGCCUUUAGCAUCAAGUGGACCGAUGAGUAUGAAUCGGCCAUAGACCAUAAUGGACCUCCUCUCUCACCUCAGGAGACAGACUGUGCCAUUGAGGCCCUCAAAGCUCUCUUCAAUGUGACGGUAGACAGUUGGAAGGUGCAUAAAGAGAGUGAUUCUCAUCAGUUCCGUGUCAUGGCAGCUGUCCUUCGCCAUUGUUUACUAAUUGUAGGUCCAACUGAAGACAAAACAGAAGAGCUGCACAGCAAUGCAGUCAACCUUUUAAGCAAUGUUCCGGUCUCUUGUUUGGACGUUCUCAUUUGUCCAUUAACACAUGAAGAAACAACCCACGAGGCAACGACUCUAGAUGAACUGCCCAGUGAUAAAACAGCUGAGAAAGAAACAGUUUUGAAAAACAAUACCAUGGUAUACAAUGGUAUGAAUAUGGAGGCCAUUCAUGUUUUACUCAAUUUUAUGGAGAAGAGAAUAGACAAGGGAAGCAGCUAUAGAGAGGGCCUAACUCCAGUUCUCAGCUUAUUAACAGAAUGCUCCCGAGCCCAUCGAAACAUCAGAAAAUAUCUCAAAGAUCAGGUUUUACCCCCACUGAGGGAUGUGACAAAUCGACCUGAAGUUGGCUCAACUGUGAGAAACAAGCUGGUGCGCCUCAUGACACAUGUUGACCUUGGAGUCAAACAAAUUGCUGCUGAAUUCCUUUUCGUCCUUUGCAAGGAGAGAGUGGAUAGCCUGCUGAAAUACACUGGCUAUGGAAAUGCUGCAGGACUGUUGGCGGCCAGGGGCCUCUUGACUGGAGGAAGAGGAGAUAAUUGGUACUCAGAGGACGAGGACACAGACACUGAAGAAUACAAAAAUGCAAAACCAAACAUUAAUCUUAUCACUGGUCAUUUAGAGGAACCAAUGCCAAACCUUAUAGAUGAAAUGACAGAAGAACAAAAAGAAUAUGAAGCCAUGAAACUUGUCAACAUGCUUGAUAAACUUUCCAGAUGCCUGAUCAGAUGAGAAGCCCGCCAUGAUACUGUCACAGUGCCUAGAAUGGGCUCUUUAUCCAGUAGACAUCACUGUACUUUUUGAUGAUAACGAGGGCAGUCUUAACUUGUGUUAAGGCCUGUGUAUAGCAUUGAAGAGAGGAGUUGCUUAAACCAAUGGGACUAAAACCUGAUGGGACAAUAACGCCUUUGGAGGAAGCACUCAGCCAGUACUCUGUCAUCGAAGAGACCAGCUCCGACACAGACUAAAGCCAUCACCUGCUCAAUUCAGUCUUGCUUUUAUUGGCAUCUUUUCUCUGUAGCUCCAGGGGAAUCUUUUUUCUCAAACAUUUAUGCCCUUGCUUUGGCUAGAAACACAUUAACUGGUUUACUCAUUGAGAAUCCAGCAUAUUUAAGAGGUGAUCCUGUGUUUUUGCGAUCCUGAGGCAUUCAUGCAGAGCUGCAGUUAGAUGGAGUUGCGGGGGCUAGCAGCAGAAUAACGCCAUUUCAUCGGGAUGGAACCGAAGGACUUCACUGUAACACAGCCCUGGUGGAAUCUGGCAGGUCAUUUGCCAAGAUUCUUAGCAGAAGAUUUAGCCGCAUCCUUCCUCUCACUUGUGUGAGCUGCCCCUCCUGAAUCUCUCCAGCAGACGGAGGCAUGCGGGAAGCAGAAAGAGCUGCUAAAUAAGGGCUGAGGCAAGUGACUUGUUAGAUCAGGACUGACGACAUGGAAGCCAAGCAGCUGCUCCAUAAACCUCGCCCCACUUUUCAUUUCAGUUUUGUAUAAAUAUAUAGAAAUGCACACACACACACACAGCCCCGGACUUGCAAACUGACUGCACUGAAAGUUUGUAUGUCACUUAUCUAGAACUUCAGAAUACAUUUCUCCCUAUAAAAUGACGGUUUAGUUCGGAGGCAGCUACAAUGCCUAUUUAUUCCCUCACGUACCUGAACACUAUACCAGAGAACUGAGCCCCCAUCUGUAUUGCUGCAUGGGGAGCAUGCAUUCUGAGGUCUAACUCGGGUGCCAAGAACACGUGUCCCAGCAGAGGGAAUGGGGACUCCUGAGUCCUGGGAGUUCUUUGUGGCCUCUGCUGGGGCAGGGGGUCAACAGCACCCUUUUGUACAUAUAGGUCAUUCAUAUGUCACAUGUUUCAAAUGGGGGCUGUGUGUGUGCUGAUGUGUGUGUUCUACCUUUCUACCAUAUGAUCAGUUUAACGGUAACCUUAUUUAUUUAAAAAAAAAAAGAAACACAAAUAGUUAUUGUUAAACUGAUCAAGGCUGUUUAUUUUUACUUUAAAAAUUGGUCAUAUGAAGUAGUAGAAAAUGAAUCGGUGAGCCUGGUUAAUCAGUGGCUAAAGUUGAAAAGGGGUUGGUUUCCUUUUAUAUAUGUAUGUAUGUUUGUAUACAUACAUAUAUACACACAUAGAUAAUGUGCUUAACCACUGCCUUUUAAAACUUUAAAUUAAAUAAAACAUUGGGGUUGAUUCAAUUUAGCCAUCUGUGUGUGUUUCUUUACAGAUACAUGGGGUAAACUAUUUCCCAGUUCAUGCUUUUUAAAAGUACUUGUACAUCUCACUUAAAUAGCCUCCUUAAGGAUAGGCACAUGGGGUGUAAGUAAAAAUGUCAGUUAUCCAGAAAUCACUUCUCUGGCAAAACAAAACAGGAAUUGAACUUUUAAAUGCCUGUGAGCCUCCACGAGAGAUGUCAAAACCUUCCUGCAGUUUGCUCAUCGGAGAGAGCCUCAAGAAUCUCUACUAAAAUUUGCAUACAUUUCUAAAAUGUUUAGUUAUCUGGCUUUUAGGCCCACAGAAAAGUCCCACAGGAGGAGUGGGGAGGAAGGGGGCGGAGUGAGAAAGCUCCUUGAGCUGUCACAAAUCUGGGAGAGUCUGUUUCCCGAAUGACACAUAUCACAAUCUGGCCCAUAGACUGAUUCUCAAGGAUGACCCUGUUUCUUAAAAAAAAAAAAAAAA
Molecule: RNA transcript, 3622 nt
Organism: Myotis lucifugus (little brown bat)
Lineage: Eukaryota; Metazoa; Chordata; Mammalia; Chiroptera; Vespertilionidae
Gene: RIC8B
Gene name: RIC8 guanine nucleotide exchange factor B
Exons: 11
Source: RefSeq, a predicted model, not a curated record